CAGCUAUGGAGUUUUGCAUCUGAUUCUCAGCUACUGCAUUCCUAUCUAGUUAAAAGAAUUUCAUGGCUUCCAUUCUUCUCAAAUUUCAUAUGCAACCCUUUACAACUACUAAUCUGUCAACUGAAUUUCUGCAAAAUAAUAUUCUGUUCUCUUCUCUUUCAUCUCCUAAAAUCCACCAUCGAAGUCUUGAUACUCGAGUAUCUUUCUUCCCCUUCCACGAUGAUCGCUUCCACAGGCCCAAAAUUCCCUCUCUAUCCAUUCACUCUUCCCUAUCUUCCUCUACCCCACCUGCAUCCAAAGAAGAAGCCAUCCUUCAAGCCAAAACCUGCCUCUCAGCAACACUGGAAAAGCCCCUCAACAACCCCAAACUUGCUGGGAAACUCAAGAAACUGAAGCAACCCAGAUUCCAAGUCGAAAUCCCAGUCAUCGAUGACUCGCCAACAUCCCUCUCCCAACUUGCUCUUGAUGUUUUUGGAGAGCUACCCAUUAAAAGAAAGGGCUUCAGGAUCAAGAUUCUAAUACUCUGGCCAAGCCCCACAUUAAAAAACAUUGCAGUUGAAGCAUUUCAAUCUCAUUCAUCUAACAAUGUUGAGCAUUUUGACAUAUCUUCAGUUAUAAAUGGUGAAAACAGUUUCUUGGGCUCUACUGAGAUAGCUGUGUUUUUGGCGCCAGAGAGUUCACAAUUGGCAACUAUAAAAACCAUUACUGACAGUUUGUACCCAAAGCCAGUGGUGAUAUUCAACCCAAGAUGGGGUUUUGAAGAGGAGAGCGAUUUUGGUGAUUUGAGUGGCUUUGCAGGCUCUUUUGAGGUGAUAUAUUCAUUUGUAGGGUUGGAGGUGAGAGGUGUUCUGAGCAAGCGAAGAGGAGUGGUUUUCAAGUGUGUCAGAGAUGGGGUUGUGAGUGGUGAAAGAUGGACAGUUCUUGUUGAAGAAGAAGGAGAAUUGAAAGUUGUUUCAAGAUUCAAGACCCGGCCAUCCAUAGGUGAAGUUGAGAAUGUUUUGUAUAAUUUGAUGGCUAUUAAUUCGCCAAUAACAAAAUCUGCCAAGUUUUUAAAAGAUUUGGUGUCAAAUGUAACAGGAAGAAAGAAUUAGGGAAUGGGGAUAUUGAUUUUGAUACAUGUUUUUCUUUUUAUAUGAUUGAAAUUUUCUUAUGAAUUGUUUCAUUGAAUGCAAUUGCUUUCUUUAUGAAUUUUUUGUGGUUAAAUUUAACUAAGGUCACUAAAUACAGCAUUUUAUUGUAAACAUAAGGAUGCUAUCUAGAAAAUAGAAAUUGUGUUACAGAGAAGAAUAUAAAUGGUGAAAAGUGGUGGCUGAGAGCUAGGGAGAAUGCUUAUAAGAGAGGAAAUUGGUGAUGAAAGUUCUACUGUCUACAUAAUGGUGAAAAACUAAUUUUUGUGCUCAUUUAUUAGUUCUCUUUUAACCAAAUAAAAAAGGCAAAGAACAGGAGGUUUUCAGACUUGAACCGUAGAGGAAGAGUUCCAAAAGAAUAAAAGAGA
This 1495-nucleotide unclassified non-coding RNA is filed under the name Hevea brasiliensis (rubber tree). The record is from RNAcentral. Lineage: Eukaryota; Viridiplantae; Streptophyta; Magnoliopsida; Malpighiales; Euphorbiaceae.